GGAAGGAUCAUUAUUGAAAUAGACCUGACGGGUUGUUGCUGGCUCUCUAGGGAGCAUGUGCACGCCUUGUCAUCUUUAUAUCUCCACCUGUGCACCUUUUGUAGACCCUUUCAGGGGUCUAUGUUGCUUCAUUUACCCCAAUGUAUGUUAAUAGAAUGUUGUGCCUAUUAUAAUGUAUACAACUUUCAGCAACGGAUCUCUUGGCUCUCGCAUCGAUGAAGAACGCAGCGAAAUGCGAUAAGUAAUGUGAAUUGCAGAAUUCAGUGAAUCAUCGAAUCUUUGAACGCACCUUGCGCUCCUUGGUAUUCCGAGGAGCAUGCCUGUUUGAGUGUCAUUAAUAUAUAUCAACCUUCUCUUCGGUGAAUGGUUUGGAUGUGGGGGUUUGCUGGCCUCUAAAGAGUUCAGCUCUCCUGAAAUGCAUCAGCGGAACAACCUGUUCAUUGGUGUGAUAAAAUAUCUACGCCGUUGAAUGUGAGGGACAGUUCAGCUUUCUAACAGUCCUUGGACAAAUCAUCAUUAAUGUGACCUCAAAUCAGGUAGGACUACCCGCUGAACUUAAGCAUAUCAAUAAGCGGAGGAAAAGAAACUAACAAGGAUUCCCCUAGUAACUGCGAGUGAAGCGGGAAAAGCUCAAAUUUAAAAUCUGGUGGUCUUUUGGCUGUCCGAGUUGUAAUCUAGAGAAGUGUUAUCCGCGCUGGACCGUGUACAAGUCUCCUGGAAUGGAGCAUCAUAGAGGGUGAGAAUCCCGUCUUUGACAUGGACUGCCAGGGCUUUUGUGAUGCGCUCUCAAAGAGUCGAGUUGUUUGGGAAUGCAGCUCAAAAUGGGUGGUAAAUUCCAUCUAAAGCUAAAUAUUGGCGAGAGACCGAUAGCGAACAAGU
This 879-nucleotide ribosomal RNA is filed under the name uncultured fungus. Its description in RNAcentral is "eukaryotic LSU rRNA". The stretch from base 523 to 879 matches the Rfam family "Eukaryotic large subunit ribosomal RNA", at positions 1 to 349 of the family's 3401-position model. Lineage: Eukaryota; Fungi. The record is from RNAcentral.